Molecule: long non-coding RNA, 551 nt
Organism: Lingula anatina
Lineage: Eukaryota; Metazoa; Brachiopoda; Lingulata; Lingulida; Lingulidae
Source: RefSeq, a predicted model, not a curated record
CACUUACAAUAAACCAUAAUGUCUCUAUAAAGACUGCUAUAACACUUGCAGCUCAACAGGUGACUUAAUUUGUAAACAGAACAGGUGUUGGUUGUACUCUGUAGCAACAUUCGGGAUAAUUUUCUUGUCAUGGAGUGGUACUUUGACUGCGGUUGGUAUAGAGGGUGUGAAGAAAGCUGCCGCAAUGUUCGAAGGAGAGCUUGCAACAGUUGCCUCAACUGCACUAGUUCCUUUGAUCGCGAAUGCCUAAGAAGUUGCAUGAAGGGUUGCGCUGGUUUCUGUUUUGGACUCUUGUUCGUCAUAAUCUUUAUUUCUGGAUUCACCCUAGACCUCACAUUUGGUAUUUUAUGUGUUGAUGACAUAGAAAGAGUAAACAGAACGUAUUGUUCGGGUAUACCUGGCACCAAGGCAGCCAUAGGAAUGAUCGUAUCGGGAUGCAUUGGACUUCUCUUCGCGAUUGGAGUCUGCCUGGCAGGACUGAGAAGUUGCUUAAAAAGUUAAAGUAGAAAGUGAACACAGUGUUGACACAAGGGGUAACUUGAGGCACGAAA